GAUGAACGCUGGUGGCGUGCCUAAUACAUGCAAGUCGAGCGAACGGACGAGAAGCUUGCUUCUCUGAUGUUAGCGGCGGACGGGUGAGUAACACGUGGAUAACCUACCUAUAAGACUGGGAUAACUUCGGGAAACCGGAGCUAAUACCGGAUAAUAUUUUGAACCGCAUGGUUCAAAAGUGAAAGACGGUCUUGCUGUCACUUAUAGAUGGAUCCGCGCUGCAUUAGCUAGUUGGUAAGGUAACGGCUUACCAAGGCAACGAUGCAUAGCCGACCUGAGAGGGUGAUCGGCCACACUGGAACCGAGACACGGUCCAGACUCCUACGGGAGGCAGCAGUAGGGAAUCUUCCGCAAUGGGCGAAAGCCUGACGGAGCAACGCCGCGUGAGUGAUGAAGGUCUUCGGAUCGUAAAACUCUGUUAUUAGGGAAGAACAUAUGUGUAAGUAACUGUGCACAUCUUGACGGUACCUAAUCAGAAAGCCACGGCUAACUACGUGCCAGCAGCCGCGGUAAUACGUAGGUGGCAAGCGUUAUCCGGAAUUAUUGGGCGUAAAGCGCGCGUAGGCGGUUUUUUAAGUCUGAUGUGAAAGCCCACGGCUCAACCGUGGAGGGUCAUUGGAAACUGGAAAACUUGAGUGCAGAAGAGGAAAGUGGAAUUCCAUGUGUAGCGGUGAAAUGCGCAGAGAUAUGGAGGAACACCAGUGGCGAAGGCGACUUUCUGGUCUGUAACUGACGCUGAUGUGCGAAAGCGUGGGGAUCAAACAGGAUUAGAUACCCUGGUAGUCCACGCCGUAAACGAUGAGUGCUAAGUGUUAGGGGGUUUCCGCCCCUUAGUGCUGCAGCUAACGCAUUAAGCACUCCGCCUGGGGAGUACGACCGCAAGGUUGAAACUCAAAGGAAUUGACGGGGACCCGCACAAGCGGUGGAGCAUGUGGUUUAAUUCGAAGCAACGCGAAGAACCUUACCAAAUCUUGACAUCCUUUGACAACUCUAGAGAUAGAGCUUUCCCCUUCGGGGGACAAAGUGACAGGUGGUGCAUGGUUGUCGUCAGCUCGUGUCGUGAGAUGUUGGGUUAAGUCCCGCAACGAGCGCAACCCUUAAGCUUAGUUGCCAUCAUUAAGUUGGGCACUCUAAGUUGACUGCCGGUGACAAACCGGAGGAAGGUGGGGAUGACGUCAAAUCAUCAUGCCCCUUAUGAUUUGGGCUACACACGUGCUACAAUGGACAAUGCAAAGGGCAGCGAAACCGCGAGGUCAAGCAAAUCCCAUAAAGUUGUUCUCAGUUCGGAUUGUAGUCUGCAACUCGACUACAUGAAGCUGGAAUCGCUAGUAAUCGUAGAUCAGCAUGCUACGGUGAAUACGUUCCCGGGUCU
RNAcentral lists this ribosomal RNA (1372 nucleotides) under uncultured bacterium. RNAcentral describes it as "bacterial SSU rRNA". It matches the Rfam family "Bacterial small subunit ribosomal RNA", at positions 28 to 1381 of the family's 1533-position model. The record is from RNAcentral.